GCACACAUGGGACUAUGGCUGAAGGAGCAGUGCGAUGUAACAUGUUUUAAAAGAAGAAAAGAUAGAAAAAGCGGCUUGGUAGAAACUGCCAGCACCAAAACUGCAAAGCGCAGCGCGGGAGGGGGCCCGAGGGGGGUCGCGGAGUUAAGAAUGCGCAAAGUCUCCCAGGCUCUCUAAAAAGACCACUGAGUUUCAUUCGAACCACUGCCCGAGGACUCGACCCCCCAAACUGGGCAUCACCUGGCAAAUAGCAGUCAGAAGAAAUCCACCCAUCCCCCCCCCAAAAAAAGAAGUGGGGCGGCAGUAGAGCAAAGAGGGGGGAAAUUCAGCGGCCCAUGGAAGUUGGAUUCGGUAACCAGGCUCCAAAGUUGGUGCCGUCACUUGAGGCAUCCAUAAGGAAGCCCAUUGACCUAAUUGCUGCCAUCAACCCAGGGACAAAGCCAAUCGGGUGGACAGCGGAGAGGCAAUAUGGGAAGGACCUUGGUCCUUGAAGAUAUUGUGCCACUAUAUCAAGCAACCGCUGAAGCCUGAAUUACCUCUGGAUGCCUAAUAACGUGGAACAAUAAAUUUCCUUAUUGUUUAAUUUGA
Molecule: long non-coding RNA, 588 nt
Organism: Homo sapiens (human)
Lineage: Eukaryota; Metazoa; Chordata; Mammalia; Primates; Hominidae
Exons: 2
Source: RefSeq, a predicted model, not a curated record